AACCAUGUGUUUUUGACUUUUUGACGUUUGAAUCGACUCUCAUUCAGUGUAUUCUUAAAGGUAUAUAUAUAUAGAUCGAGUUUUAAACGCAAUAAAACUUUUGAAGCCUUAAUUAAUUCAAUUAAAAAAAAAUUUAAGUUUUCUAUUUGAGGAAAAAAAAAAAAAAUUUAAGUCGUUCCGAGAUGACAUGGACACGAGGACCCCACUUUCAUCUCGCCUACCCUUAUUUGCCAGCCUGUUAUUAUUAUUUAAAAACAAAAUAUGUUCACGUUAAUUACACGUGUAACUUUACAUGUCGUC
This 300-nucleotide long non-coding RNA is filed under the name Capsella rubella. RNAcentral's name for it is "long non-coding RNA (CRUB_LNC004592)". Lineage: Eukaryota; Viridiplantae; Streptophyta; Magnoliopsida; Brassicales; Brassicaceae. The record is from RNAcentral.